UACGGAGGGAGCUAGCGUUGUUCGGAAUUACUGGGCGUAAAGCGCACGUAGGCGGCUUUGUAAGUUAGAGGUGAAAGCCCGGGGCUCAACUCCGGAACUGCCUUUAAGACUGCAUCGCUAGAAUCCGGGAGAGGUGAGUGGAAUUCCGAGUGUAGAGGUGAAAUUCGUAGAUAUUCGCAAGAACACCAGUGGCGAAGGCGGCUCACUGGCCCGAUACUGACGCUGAGGCACGAAAGCGUGGGGAGCAAACAGG
This 253-nucleotide ribosomal RNA is filed under the name uncultured bacterium. RNAcentral's name for it is "partial 16S ribosomal RNA". It matches the Rfam family "Bacterial small subunit ribosomal RNA", at positions 524 to 776 of the family's 1533-position model. The record is from RNAcentral.